Molecule: ribosomal RNA, 230 nt
Filed under: uncultured bacterium
Lineage: Bacteria
Description: partial 16S ribosomal RNA
Rfam family: Bacterial small subunit ribosomal RNA
Source: RNAcentral
GAUCCUGGCUCAGGAUGAACGCUGGCGGCGUGCCUAAUACAUGCAAGUCGAACGCUUCACUUCGGUGAAGAGUGGCGAACGGGUGAGUAAUACAUAAGUAACCUGGCAUCUACGAGGGGGAUAACUGAUAGGAAACGUCAGCUAAGACCGCAUAGGUGUAGAGAUCGCAUGAACUCUAUAUAGAAAGUGCGUACGGACUGGUAGAUGAGUGGACUUAGUGGCGCUAUUAG